This 252-nucleotide ribosomal RNA is filed under the name Keratoisis grayi. RNAcentral describes it as "partial 12S ribosomal RNA". It matches the Rfam family "Bacterial small subunit ribosomal RNA", at positions 9 to 401 of the family's 1533-position model. The record is from RNAcentral. Lineage: Eukaryota; Metazoa; Cnidaria; Anthozoa; Scleralcyonacea; Keratoisididae.
CUCCUUUGACCUUGGGGAGUCUAUAAGGCAAUGUGUUCUUCUAAUACAUGCAAGGCCCUGUAACUAUAGGGUCCUACUGGUGAGGAUAAAACGGAGAUCAUCUCGGUUAACGUAUUAGAAUAGGUGGGAUAGUGGCCCACCUGGUCGAAGAUGCGUAGUAUAGCCACACUUUCACUGUAACAAGGGGAAGACAUUUUGGCAGCAGUAGAGAAUCUUGUGCAAUGGGUAAACGCUUGACACAGGGUUUCACAC